This 74-nucleotide transfer RNA is filed under the name Jenufa minuta. RNAcentral's name for it is "tRNA-Trp". It matches the Rfam family "tRNA". Rfam says of the family: Transfer RNA (tRNA) molecules are approximately 80 nucleotides in length. Their secondary structure includes four short double-helical elements and three loops (D, anti-codon, and T loops). Further hydrogen bonds mediate the characteristic L-shaped molecular structure. tRNAs have two regions of fundamental functional importance: the anti-codon, which is responsible for specific mRNA codon recognition, and the 3' end, to which the tRNAs corresponding amino acid is attached (by aminoacyl-tRNA synthetases). tRNAs cope with the degeneracy of the genetic code in two manners: having more than one tRNA (with a specific anti-codon) for a particular amino acid; and 'wobble' base-pairing, i.e. permitting non-standard base-pairing at the 3rd anti-codon position. The record is from RNAcentral. Lineage: Eukaryota; Viridiplantae; Chlorophyta; Chlorophyceae.
AGACGUGUAAUUCAAAUGGUUAGAAUUUUGAUUUUCAAAAUCAAUUGUUAGUGGUUCAAGUCCUCUCAUGUCUG